Long non-coding RNA from Bos taurus (domestic cattle), 6036 nucleotides. The record is from Ensembl. NCBI's taxonomy places the organism in Eukaryota, Metazoa, Chordata, Mammalia, Artiodactyla, Bovidae.
AUUUUAAAUUCUAGGAGGAAGUAAUUUUUGCGCAUAUCUUUGCCACAUUUUUUUUUUCCUACCCUUCAGUAAAUUAUAUCAUUAGGAUUAUUAAAGCUUUUGAAAGUACCACUCUCCUUUGUGGGAAAAAGGCUAAUUACUGAUUUGUCUGCCCUUAAAAUCUAAGAGUUGAUUCUAAUUGAGUGCUAGAUUAGGUAGUUAGCAAAAAGAACUGAAAUUUAACCUCAGCAUGUUACUAGAUCUAGCUCUCAUAUUUGAUUUUCAUUUUUCAAAUUAGAGCAUUUACUUACUUUUACCAGUAACUAUAUAUAUAGGGCUUCCCUGGUGGCUUAGACUGUAAAGAAUCUGCCUGCCAUGCGGGAGACCCAGGUUUGAUCCCUGGGUUGGGAAGAUCCCCUGGAGAAGGAAAUUGCAACCCUCUCCAGUAAUCUUACCUAGAGAAUGCCUGGACAGAGGAGCCUGGCAGGCUAUAUACAUACACGCACAUGUGUAUAUAUUUAAAGUCACUCUGGUGCUUAAUUAAUUAGGAUACAUCCCGUCAUGUAUUUUGAAUGUGUAUCCUACUAGUGUGAUGAUUAUUGUCAUAAAAGCAGAACAGAAGAAACAGUUGUCCAGUCAUUUUCUUUUUUUCCCAAUCAUUUUCAUUUGACAGUUACCAGAAAACCUUCUUAACUGGCCCUCAGUGAAUUUCUCUAGUUAAUGAAUUCAGAUUUUAAACUAUGUCCAUCAUUCUCUUAGCUGAAAAACAGUGGUGUGUUUAAAUAGUUUUAUUCAUGCAGCUCCCUAAAUAUUCAACCGGACAGAAGGAAAUGAAAGUAGGUGUCCUUCUCAGACAGGUAUUUGAGGAGAGAUUUGACCGAAGGCAGCAAGGGCCGUGUGAGCCAGGAUAGUGACGCCCCCACACACAACCAGACGGCAGAAGCAGGGGCUAUUAUCACCUGAAGGCACUUCCCUUCACUGUCUCCAGAAACAGGGAGGUUUUAGCACAGAAUGAACAGGAGUGGAGGAGGAUCCUGUGCUGCUCUGAGAUGGUGCCAUAUUAUGGCUAGAAUCUCAGAGCCUCAGUUCAAGACUGAUGUAGGACUUUGUAAAUGAGUAAAUGCUCCUGGUAAUAGUUGCUGUGAGUCUGUGUGGUCUAGUGAUGCCAUUCUGAAAGUGUUGAUUUCUGGUACCAACCAGCUUAGCUUUGGUUGCUGGAAGCACAGUAGGUACUGAUGGUUAUUUCCUGGAAAUCUUGACAGGCUUAUUGUACUGUGUAAUGGGGAAAAGUUAAAGUGUAAUGUUUGGUGUUAAUAAGUGACUGAUGUGAAAAUAGGAACAUGUGUCUAAAAUAUCAAAUAUGGCUUUAUUUGCAGUGAAGUCUAAAUUCUUUGUCCUGUAGUUGUAUUUUCUUGCUCUGUGUUGUAGCUUUUCUUAAAUAUAUUAUUUCUGACAGUAUCACUAGACGAGUUUUACACACUUAGAAUGUGUUUGACUUUAAGAGAGCAAUCCAGAAACUGUGUGAGAGUCUUCAUCUGGAAUUGCCAAAGUAAAUUAAAUAAAAUCAUGGUCUAGAAGAGAACAAACAUUCAUAAAUGGUGUUUUACCCCUACUGCUCAUUUUAAAGCUGUAUUUACAUGCAGUCUCCAAUGCUUAUAAAGUAUUUCAUUGUUUUUCUAGGUUCUUCUUUUAUUUAACUAGGAAAUUGUAGUUCAGAUUUUUCUUAAUGCCAGAUGACACAAGAGAUACAUUUUUUGCUUUAAAAAAGACGAUUUUUUUUAAAGCAUUAUUUUGGUAAUCAUUUAUCUAAAUGCAGUUAGAUUGAACUCCUCUUUGCUCACCACUUCCAUAUUGUGGGUGUUUUUUAAAAAUGUGGCUCAGAUGGUAAAGAAUCUGCCUACAAUGUAGGAGACCCAGGUUCGAUCCCUGGGUUGGAAAGACCCCCUGGAGAAGUACAUGGCUACCCACUCCAGUGUUCUCGCCUGGAGAAUCCCAUGAACAGAGAAGCCUGGUGGGCUACAGUCCAUGGGGUCACAAAGAGUUAGACACAGCUGAGGGACUAACACUUUCACUUUCACUUUUAAAAAUGUAUCAUGCUCUAUCUCGGCUCACUUCCUGUUACGUAUUAUAAAGGUUGGUAAUUGUCAUUCCUCAGACCUCUGUAUGUUAAAUUGGCAACCGUAAAUUGUUUUAAUGUUGUUACCAUUUAAAUUUUGCACUGUAUUAACAUGCCUCAUGUUUUCAGGGGACGUUUGAAAUAUCACUAAACAAGAGGAAUUUGCAUUUCACUGUGUAUUCAUUUUUUUUCCCCUCAUAAAAAUGGUUUCCAAAAAAAGUAACAUAUUGUCUGUUAGAUGAUCCCAAUCAGUUUCAAAGUACUCCUCUUACUCAAAACUACUCAAAAAUAAUUCAUGACAGCAUCAUUGUGACUCAUUGUCUCAAAAGGUCUUUGUAAUGGUCAAAUUUUUCCAAUUCACGAAAGAGUGGGAGAGUUGUUUUCAAUAUUGUUGUUGUUGAGUCGCUAAGUCGUGUCUAACUCUUUGCGACCCCAUGAACUGCAGUACCCCAGACUCUUCUGUCCUCCACUGUCUCCCAGAAUUUGAUAAAACUCAUGCCCAUCGAGUCGGUAAUGCCAUCCAACCAUCUCAUCCUCUGUUGUUUCCUUCUCUUCCUGCCUUCAAUCUUUCCCAGCAUCAGGGUCUUUUCCAAUAAGUUGGCUCUUUGCAUCAGGUGGCCAAAGUAUUGAAGCUUCAGCUUCAGCAUCAAUCCUUCCGAUGAAUAUUCAGGAUUGAUUUCCUUUUGGAUUGACUGGUUUGAUCUCCUUGCAAUCCAAGGGACUCUCAAGAGUCUUCUCCAGCACCACAAUUCAAAAACAACAACUCUUUGGCACUCAGCCUUCUUUAUUCUCAAUAUUUGGAAUGUUUAAAACCUUCUGUCACUUUGCAUGGCACCAUCCCAGCCCCUCUGUGUCUGCUGCUCCCAGAAUGUUCCGUGCCUUCUUUUCCAAUAGCAGUUACAAUCUUCAGUAUCGCAGACCCUGACUGGCAGCAUUGAACUAUUCCCCAGCUCUUCCCAGUUCACAUUUUCCAGCGUCAGGGGCUCCCUGGAUAAGCCUCAGACCCACUUGGGGAAGCAGAUGCUAGGUGUUAUUUGUCAGAAACUUUGCUAAACCAUGUAAACCAUCACUUCUCAGCCUUUUCCCUGAUGGCUCAGUGGUAAAGAAUCUGGUGCCAAUGCAGGAGACACAAGAGAUGCAGGUUCAAUCCCUAGAUCCUGAAGAUCCCCUAAGGAGGACAUGGCAACCCACUCCAGUAUUCUUGACUGAAAAAUUCCAUGGACAGAGGAGCCCAGUCGACUACAAUCCAUGGGGUCGCAAAGAGUCGGACAUAGCUGAAUGAGCACAGCACACAAAUCAUGUACACUCUUGCCCACGUCUUUUGUGAGAUGUGGUUGGCACUAAGGGACCAAUGAAAAGAAUUUUUAAAACAUUCUGUUGAGGAUUCAGACUCACAAAUGUAAAAAGAGCACUGUGCCCUCUCCAGGUAAGUUCACGGCCCCUACAAUGUACUGAGGCUGAAGGUAAAUCCUGGAACAGCAGACCAGUAGCGACCCGUAAAGUUGAAGGACACUGAUUGUUUUAAGAGGGGGGCGGGGAAAACCCUUUCCUAUAAGAAAGAAUCACUUCUAAAGUAUAUUGAGUGUAACAUUUUUCUAAAUCCUGUAGCUAUUAUGCCCCACCCCUGGGAAAGAGUGCUUAUGAGUUAUGUUGCUGUAACUAGUUUGAGCUCCUCUCCUAGGUCUCAAGGAAAUGAGGAUAGUGUUCAAGCAUCUGAAGUUACCAGAUGUUGAACAUAACUUGGCCAUUUAUAGACGAAAUCUCCAACAUUUGGAGGCAAUGGGUGAUUCAGUGACUAAGGGCCUCUGUCUCUAUACACCGAAGGAUCCAGGCCGGGUUUAGUUUUCAUUUUUUUUUAAACUUCACUCUCAUCACGCUAAGGUAGUGUUUGACUUAAAAGAGAUCAUUCCAGAAACUGUGUUAAAUUAGAGUCUUCAUCUGGAAUUACCAAAGUAAAUGAAAUAAAAUCAUGGUCUAAAAUAUGUAUUCUAGUGUAAUUUUUUCCCAAAUUACCAGAACAGGUAUCUGUUCAUUUUCAUUAUACAUUUAAUUGUUGAAAACCUACCUGCUAUACCCAUUAGGCACCCUUCACAGGAUAAUUACGGCUAAAAGAGAGGAGACCAGUCUUGGCCCCUGGAGCCUGCAUUUCAGAACUGGCUUGUUGUAAUGUCUGGUUUAAUUUUGUUUUGUUUGUUUUUUCACUCAGCAAGUGGGAAACCAUGAGUGUAAACAGACUCUUUCCUUUUCCUUUUUUACGCUUAAGGAAAAAAGAAAUGUAAUUUUAGCUCCCAUUUAGGUAGUAAAGGCUUCCCUGACAGACAGCGGUGCCUUUCCCUAGGCGAAGAGACUAGAACCAAAGGCUUUAGUCAGUCUUUGAACAUUCCUUUGACAAGUUUUUAUGUAUUUUUCAUGUGAAACCCAUAAAUGAACCUGGCAUGAUGAUCGUGACCUAGCCAGUAAACUUGCUUGCUUUUUUUGCAUUCAUCUUCUUAAAUAUAAGCUUCCCUUGUUUUACCUGGAGCCAUGCUAGAAACUGAAUUCCUGUGGGCCACUCCAUGGCUGCCUGCUGAUGUCCUGGAAACUUGGCAGCAUCAUUAGCAGUGCUCGCCUCAGAGGGAGAAGCUCGUGGAAUGUGUUGGGAGAGUUGAAUUUUACAUCCAAGUCAACAAACGUUUGAAAGAGUCCUGUAUGCCUCAGAUUUUGACACACACAAAAAAAUUAUUUUUUUCUGAGUACUAACUACAUAUUUGAUUUGGGGUGGGGUGGGGUGGGGGGCUGGCAGAGCAGGGAUUAGAAGUAAAAUCUGAACUAAAUGAUGUGGGCAUGACUUUAGGCCCCUGUGUAUGUGAGUCUGGAAACUGUCUUAUUCCAACACGCUACCUACCACCCUGAGUCUCUUAAGGAGCACACUGUAAAUGUGUAUAAGACUGAGAAAGAUGAUGUUAAAGACGUAAAUUAUUGUUUAGAUACUUUCUUCUUUGUUAACUCAGAAAUAAGCUUGUGGCUAGCACGAGAUGGCUACUAAAGACAUCAUUUGUAGGUUACUAGGAACAACCUUUCAAAUAUGUUUCAUUCCAACUUUUUGUAAAACUGGGGAAAGAACCUCCUAGUAAUGAAAAAACAAAACCAAUAAGAAACUUCCAUAAACACUUUCUAAAAGAGCUUGAAUGCUUAGUCAUUCUCCAGGCCAGAAUACUGGAGUGGGUCGCCUUUCCCUUCUCCAGGGGAUCUUGGCAUCAAUCUAACAUCUGCCCUAGAGUGUUUGCUUCUUGCCUAUAGUAUUUCAACAAUUUUUAUGGGAGAAAAAAAUGUACAUAUUUUAUUUCUUGGAAAAAUGAAUUGAAGUACUGAAUUAAAUUAUCAGAGGGGCCAAUUUAAAGAGACGCAUUGGUUUUUGAGACAAGCUCAUAGCUCUGUGGUCCGUUUCAGCAUUGACUUUACUGUGUGACCUUGAGCAAAUGAUUAAUUACUCUGUGCCUCAGUUUCUCCAUCUACAAAAUGGGGAUAAUGAUACCAACCAUUGCCUACCUCAUAGGGAUGUUAUGGGGACAAUUGAGACAAUAUAGAUAAAUACAAAUGCUUUGAACUCUGAAAGAAAGGUGCUAUAUAAAUUGAAAUUGUGUUGUUUUUGAUGAUCCAAUUGUUAUGUUUAGAGUUUAAAUAAUAGCAAUACUGUUAGUCAUGUUAAGAAUAAGUUUCAAUUUGAUGUAUAUUUACAAUUCUCUUCUGUGGCCAGAUAGCGAUCAUCAUCCAGUAAUGGUACUGAAAUUGGUAUUUGUUUUCUGUGUGUUUCUGCCCAUAGUAUUUCUAUUCUGAAUGUUCCCAAAAGGCUGGAGUUUAACUUGUCAUAUCUUGUAGUUUACAUGUAAUGAACCUUAUUCAAGCUGUAUAUAGAAGUAUAAUUACAUGUAAAUAGCAGGUACGUUGUAAUUCAAGGCACU